AGGACGAACGCUAGCGGCGUGUUUGAAACAUGCAAGUCGAACGGGAAGAGCAAUCUUUUAGUGGCGAACGGGUGCGUAACACGUAAAGAACCUAUCCAACAGCGGGGGAUAGCCUCUGGAAACGGGGGGUAAUACCGCAUACGCUACAAGGCAGGCAUCUGCAAUGUAGGAAAGGGGUACGAAAGUAUCUCACUGAUGGAGGGCUUUGCGGCCUAUCAGGUAGUUGGUGGGGUAACGGCCUACCAAGCCAAAGACGGGUAGCUGGUCUGAGAGGACGAUCAGCCACACUGGGACUGAGAUACGGCCCAGACUCCUACGGGGGGCAGCAGUUUAGAAUAUUGUGCAAUGGGCGAAAGCCUGACACAGCGACGCCGCGUGGGUGAUGAAGGCCUUCGGGUCGUAAAGCCCUGUUGGUAGGGAAGAGAACGGACGGUACCUACCGAGGAAGCCCGGCUAACUACGUGCCAGCAGCCGC
Molecule: ribosomal RNA, 475 nt
Filed under: uncultured bacterium
Lineage: Bacteria
Description: partial small subunit ribosomal RNA
Rfam family: Bacterial small subunit ribosomal RNA
Source: RNAcentral